UGAAUAUUGUAACUUUAAGGUGCCUUUACGGCUUAAAAGGGAAGUCCGAGCCCAAAAGUUUUGGGUAACGGCGCGGUCCCGCCACUGUAAGUAGGGAGUUACCCUAAUAUAUCCACUGGUUUUUACCGGGAAGGAUAGGGUAACGAUGAACUACAGCCAGGAGACCUGCCUUAAAGUUUGGUUCGAA
This 187-nucleotide non-coding RNA is filed under the name Carboxydothermus hydrogenoformans. The record is from RNAcentral. RNAcentral also lists the same sequence under 1 other name. Lineage: Bacteria; Bacillati; Bacillota; Clostridia; Thermoanaerobacterales; Thermoanaerobacteraceae.